CGGGGCGUGGCGCAGCCUGGUUAGCGCACCUGCUUUGGGAGCAGGGGGUCGGAGGUUCAAAUCCUCUCGCCCCGA
Molecule: transfer RNA, 75 nt
Filed under: Rubrobacter xylanophilus
Lineage: Bacteria; Bacillati; Actinomycetota; Rubrobacteria; Rubrobacterales; Rubrobacteraceae
Also listed under: 2 other names
Description: tRNA-Pro
Rfam family: tRNA
About the family: Transfer RNA (tRNA) molecules are approximately 80 nucleotides in length. Their secondary structure includes four short double-helical elements and three loops (D, anti-codon, and T loops).
Source: RNAcentral